GGACGCUUUCGGGGGUUUCGGCCUCCGAGGGAGUGGCGGACGGGUGAGUAGCGCGUGGGAACCUGCCUUGGAGUGGGGGAUAACCGAGGGAAACUUCGGCUAAUACCGCAUACGCCCCGGCGUGAGCCGGGGGAAAGAUUGAUCGCUCCAAGAGGGGCCCGCGUCGGAUUAGGUAGUUGGUGGGGUAACGGCCCACCAAGCCUGUGAUCCGUAGCUGGUCUGAGAGGAUGAUCAGCCACACUGGGACUGAGACACGGCCCAGACUCCUACGGGAGGCAGCAGUGGGGAAUAUUGGACAAUGGGCGCAAGCCUGAUCCAGCAAUGCCGCGUGAGUGAUGAAGGCCUUAGGGUUGUAAAGCUCUUUCGCCCGCGACGAUGAUGACGGUAGCGGGAGAAGAAGCCCCGGCUAACUUCGUG
This 417-nucleotide ribosomal RNA is filed under the name uncultured bacterium. Its description in RNAcentral is "bacterial SSU rRNA". It matches the Rfam family "Bacterial small subunit ribosomal RNA", at positions 64 to 507 of the family's 1533-position model. The record is from RNAcentral.